This 253-nucleotide ribosomal RNA is filed under the name uncultured bacterium. RNAcentral's name for it is "partial 16S ribosomal RNA". It matches the Rfam family "Bacterial small subunit ribosomal RNA", at positions 524 to 776 of the family's 1533-position model. The record is from RNAcentral.
UACAGAGGGUGCGAGCGUUAAUCGGAAUUACUGGGCGUAAAGCGUGCGUAGACGGUCGUGCAAGUCGGGUGUGAAAGCCCCAGGCUCAACCUGGGAAUUGCAUUCGAGACUGCUCGGCUAGGGUGCGGAAGAGGGAAGCGGAAUUUCCGGUGUAGCGGUGAAAUGCGUAGAUAUCGGAAGGAACACCAGUGGCGAAAGCGGCUUCCUGGUCCGACACCGACGUUCAGGCACGAAAGCGUGGGGAGCAAACAGG